UACGUAGGUGGCGAGCGUUGUCCGGAAUUACUGGGUGUAAAGGGAGCGUAGGCGGGAGCGCAAGUUAAAUGUGAAAUGUAUCGGCUCAACCGGUACCUGCGUUUAAAACUGCGUUUCUUGAGUGAGGUAGAGGCAGGCGGAAUUCCUAGUGUAGCGGUGAAAUGCGUAGAUAUUAGGAGGAACACCAGUGGCGAAGGCGGCCUGCUGGGCCUUAACUGACGCUGAAGCUCGAAAGCGUGGGGAGCAAACA
RNAcentral lists this ribosomal RNA (250 nucleotides) under uncultured bacterium. RNAcentral describes it as "partial 16S ribosomal RNA". It matches the Rfam family "Bacterial small subunit ribosomal RNA", at positions 524 to 774 of the family's 1533-position model. The record is from RNAcentral.